RNAcentral lists this ribosomal RNA (429 nucleotides) under Gemmatimonadota bacterium. RNAcentral's name for it is "Gemmatimonadetes bacterium partial 16S ribosomal RNA". It matches the Rfam family "Bacterial small subunit ribosomal RNA", at positions 355 to 776 of the family's 1533-position model. Lineage: Bacteria; Pseudomonadati; Gemmatimonadota. The record is from RNAcentral.
UAGGGAAUCUUCGGCAAUGGACGAAAGUCUGACCGAGCAACGCCGCGUGAGUGAAGAAGGUUUUCGGAUCGUAAAACUCUGUUGUUAGAGAAGAACAAGGACGUUAGUAACUGAACGUCCCCUGACGGUAUCUAACCAGAAAGCCACGGCUAACUACGUGCCAGCAGCCGCGGUAAUACGUAGGUGGCAAGCGUUGUCCGGAUUUAUUGGGCGUAAAGCGAGCGCAGGCGGUUUCUUAAGUCUGAUGUGAAAGCCCCCGGCUCAACCGUGGAGGGUCAUUGGAAGCUGGGAGACUUGAGUGCAGAAGAGGAGAGUGGAAUUCCAUGUGUAGCGGUGAAGUGCGUAGAUAUAUGGAGGAACAACAGUGGCGAAGGCGGCUCUCUGGUCUGUAACUGACGCUGAGGCUCGAAAGCGUGGGGAGCAAACAGG